AUGGUAACUGGCGAACGUCAGCUGGGAGGCGGAUGGCAAGUGAACGUUUUUUUUGUGGCAACUUUACCUGGUAGGCGAUCACAAAUCCUGCCUUUUUUUUGCUGCAAUUUUUUUUCUUCCCAGAGAGUCAUUGAGCACCGCUUAAGAAGAAUGACAAGCGUGACCAAAAAUCAGUUUGGUUUCAUGCCUUGGAGGUCGACCAUGGAAGCCAUUUUCUUGGCACGACAACUUAUGGAGAGAUACAUGGAGCAAAAGGACCUGCAUAUGGUGUUCAUUGACUUGGAGAAGGUCUACGAUAAGAUACCGCGGAAUGCCAUGUGGUGGGCCUUGGAGAAACACGAAGUCCCAGCAAAGUACAUUACCCUCAUCAACGACAUGUACGAUAAUGUUGUGACAAGUGUUCGUACAAGUGAUGGCGACACUGAUGCCUUUCCAGUUAAAAGAGGACUGCACCAGGGGUCAGCUUUAAGCCCUUAUCUUUUUGCUUUAGUGAUGGAUGAGGUCACAAGGGAUAUACAAGGAGAUAUCCCAUGGGUUAUGCUCUUUGCGGAUGAUGUGGUGCUAGUUGAUGAGAGUCGGACGGGGGUAGGACCGGGUCCGGAAUAA
This 606-nucleotide ribosomal RNA is filed under the name Triticum aestivum (bread wheat). Its description in RNAcentral is "partial small subunit ribosomal RNA". The record is from RNAcentral. Lineage: Eukaryota; Viridiplantae; Streptophyta; Magnoliopsida; Poales; Poaceae.